AUGGCUGUCGUCAGCUCGUGUCGUGAGAUGUUGGGUUUAAGUCCCGCAACGAGCGCAACCCUAUCUUCAGUUACCAUCAUUCAGUUGGGGGCGUCUGGAGAUACUGCCCCGGUUAACGGGGAGGAAGGUGGGGAUGACGUCAAGUCCUCAUGGCCUUUAUAUCCAGGGCUACACACGUGCUACAAUGGUCCGUACAAAGGGUUGCGAGCCUGCGAGGGUGAGCUAAUCCCGUAAAGCGGAUCUCAGUUCGGAUUGGAGUCUGCAACUCGACUUCAUGAAGUUGGAAUCGCUAGUAAUCGUGGAUCAGCAUGCCACGGUGAAUACGUUCCCGGGCCUU
Molecule: ribosomal RNA, 337 nt
Filed under: uncultured Desulfobacterium sp.
Lineage: Bacteria; Pseudomonadati; Thermodesulfobacteriota; Desulfobacteria; Desulfobacterales; Desulfobacteriaceae
Description: bacterial SSU rRNA
Rfam family: Bacterial small subunit ribosomal RNA
Source: RNAcentral